Molecule: ribosomal RNA, 330 nt
Filed under: uncultured eukaryote
Lineage: Eukaryota
Description: partial 18S ribosomal RNA
Rfam family: Eukaryotic small subunit ribosomal RNA
Source: RNAcentral
CCCUUAGAUGUUCUGGGCCGCACGCGCGCUACACUGACGAAUGCAACGAGCUUAUAAUAACCUUGGCCGAAAGGUCUGGGUAAUCUCCAAAUUUCGUCGUGAUGGGGAUAGAUUAUUGCAAUUAUUAAUCUUCAACGAGGAAUGCCUAGUAAGCGCAAGUCAUCAGCUUGCGUUGAUUACGUCCCUGCCCUUUGUACACACCGCCCGUCGCUCCUACCGAUUGAAUGGUCCGGUGAAGCGUUCGGACCGCGGCCUUUGGACGGUUCGCCGUCUGUUGGCUGCGGGAAGUUCGUUAAACCUUAUCAUUUAGAGGAAGGAGAAGUCGUAACA